RNAcentral lists this transfer RNA (75 nucleotides) under Sulfitobacter phage phiCB2047-B. It matches the Rfam family "tRNA". From Rfam's summary of the family: Transfer RNA (tRNA) molecules are approximately 80 nucleotides in length. Their secondary structure includes four short double-helical elements and three loops (D, anti-codon, and T loops). Lineage: Duplodnaviria; Heunggongvirae; Uroviricota; Caudoviricetes; Schitoviridae. The record is from Rfam by way of RNAcentral.
GCCCCUCUAGCCCAAUUGGUAGGAGGCGAAUGUUUUAGACACAUUACAGUCCCAGUUCGAAUCUGGGGAGGGGUA